Molecule: long non-coding RNA, 334 nt
Filed under: Micromonas commoda
Lineage: Eukaryota; Viridiplantae; Chlorophyta; Mamiellophyceae; Mamiellales; Mamiellaceae
Description: long non-coding RNA (MCOM_LNC000380)
Source: RNAcentral
GGCGAGCGCCAGCGGGGCACCGUCCUCGUGUUCUAACUCGCACCCGUACGCCUCGCCGGUACCUUCGGACCACUUAUCGAGCACCGCCCUGACGCUGGCGGUUGACGUGAAGUCUUUGUUGACGAGGUCGAGGAUGAACUCGGCCGGGUUGGUAUCGGCGGUGGGCGCGUGGCCGACGCUGGCGAGGUACGCGUUCAUCUUGGCGGCUUUGCCAAAGUACGCCACCCGGCCCAUGGAGAGCACCAUGACGUUGUCGAAGCCCGCGAAGACGGAGGCGGGGGGCUGGUGGAUGGUGCACACGACCGCGAUGUUCUGAGCCUUGGCGACGUUCUUG